RNAcentral lists this ribosomal RNA (466 nucleotides) under uncultured bacterium. RNAcentral's name for it is "partial 16S ribosomal RNA". It matches the Rfam family "Bacterial small subunit ribosomal RNA", at positions 28 to 507 of the family's 1533-position model. The record is from RNAcentral.
GAUGAACGCUGGCGGCGUGCUUAACACAUGCAAGUCGAACGGAAAGGCUCCUGCUUGCAGGGGUACUCGAGUGGCGAACGGGUGAGUAACACGUGGGUGAUCUGCCCUGCACUUCGGGAUAAGCCUGUGAAACUGGGUCUAAUACCGGAUAGGACGAUGGUUUUGAUGCCAUUGUGGAAAGUUUUUCGGUGGGGGAUGAGCUCGCGGCCUAUCAGCUUGUUGGUGGGGUAAUGGCCUACCAAGGCGUAGACGGGUAGCCGGCCUGGGAGGGUGGACGGCCACAGUGGGACUGGGACAGAGACAAGACCCAGACUGGAGGGAGCAGUGGGGGAGAGUGAAAAAGGGGCGCGAGCCAGAUGCAGCGACAGCGCGGGGGGGAUGACGGUCAAGGGGUUAUAGAUGUCUUGCGCUAGGGACGGAGAGUUUUGUGACGGUACCGGGAGAAGAAGCACCGGCUAACUACGUG